AGCUAACGCGUUAAGUAGACCGCCUGGGGAGUACGGCCGCAAGGUUAAAACUCAAAUGAAUUGACGGGGGCCCGCACAAGCGGUGGAGCAUGUGGUUUAAUUCGAUGCAACGCGAAGAACCUUACCUGGUCUUGACAUCCACAGAACUUUCCAGAGAUGGAUUGGUGCCUUCGGGAACUGUGAGACAGGUGCUGCAUGGCUGUCGUCAGCUCGUGUUGUGAAAUGUUGGGUUAAGUCCCGCAACGAGCGCAACCCUUAUCCUUUGUUGCCAGCGAUUAGGUCGGGAACUCAAAGGAGACUGCCAGUGAUAAACUGGAGGAAGGUGGGGAUGACGUCAAGUCAUCAUGGCCCUUACGACCAGGGCUACACACGUGCUACAAUGGCGCAUACAAAGAGAAGCGACCUCGCGAGAGCAAGCGGACCUCAUAAAGUGCGUCGUAGUCCGGAUUGGAGUCUGCAACUCGACUCCAUGAAGUCGGAAUCGCUAGUAAUCGUGGAUCAGAAUGCCACGGUGAAUACGUUCCCGGGCCUUGUACACACCGCCCGUCACACCAUGGGAGUGGGUUGCAAAAGAAGUAGGUAGCUUAACCUUCGGGAGGGCGCUUACCACUUUGUGAUUCAUGACUGGGGUGAAGUCGUAACAAGGUAACCGUAGGGGAACCUGCGGUUGGA
This 672-nucleotide ribosomal RNA is filed under the name Salmonella enterica. RNAcentral describes it as "bacterial SSU rRNA". It matches the Rfam family "Bacterial small subunit ribosomal RNA", at positions 850 to 1522 of the family's 1533-position model. Lineage: Bacteria; Pseudomonadati; Pseudomonadota; Gammaproteobacteria; Enterobacterales; Enterobacteriaceae. The record is from RNAcentral.